AACGGAGGCGCUCAAAGGUUCCCUCAGAAUGGUUGGAAAUCAUUCAUAGAGUGUAAAGGCAUAAGGGAGCUUGACUGCGAGACCUACAAGUCGAGCAGGGUCGAAAGACGGACUUAGUGAUCCGGUGGUUCCGCAUGGAAGGGCCAUCGCUCAACGGAUAAAAGCUACCCCGGGGAUAACAGGCUUAUCUCCCCCAAGAGUUCACAUCGACGGGGAGGUUUGGCACCUCGAUGUCGGCUCAUCGCAUCCUGGGGCUGUAGUCGGUCCCAAGGGUUGGGCUGUUCGCCCAUUAAAGCGGUACGCGAGCUGGGUUCAGAACGUCGUGAGACAGUUCGGUCCCUAUCCGUCGUGGGCGUAGGAAAUUUGAGAGGAGCUGUCCUUAGUACGAGAGGACCGGGAUGGACAUACCUCUGGUGUACCAGUUGUCGUGCCAACGGCAUAGCUGGGUAGCUAUGUAUGGACGGGAUAAGUGCUGAAAGCAUCUAAGCAUGAAGCCCCCCUCAAGAUGAGAUUUCCCAACUUCGGUUAUAAGAUCCCUCAAAGAUGAUGAGGUUAAUAGGUUCGAGGUGGAAGCGUGGCGACACGUGGAGCUGACGAAUACUAAUCGAUCGAAGACUUAAUCAAA
Molecule: ribosomal RNA, 625 nt
Filed under: Staphylococcus sp. HMSC070D07
Lineage: Bacteria; Bacillati; Bacillota; Bacilli; Caryophanales; Staphylococcaceae
Description: bacterial LSU rRNA
Rfam family: Bacterial large subunit ribosomal RNA
Source: RNAcentral